AACGCGAAGAACCUUACCCAGGUUGGACAUGCUCGUGGUACGAACCUGAAAGGGUGAGGACCUCGAAAGGGGAGCGAGCUCAGGUGCUGCACGGCUGUCGUCAGCUCGUGUCGUGAGAUGUUGGGUUAAGUCCCGCAACGAGCGCAACCCUCGUUCCAUGUUGCCAGCGGGUUAUGCCGGGGACUCAUGGGAGACUGCCGGGGUCAACUCGGAGGAAGGUGGGGAUGACGUCAAGUCAUCAUGCCCCUUACGUCCAGGGCUUCACACAUGCUACAAUGGCCUAUACAGAGGGCUGCGAGACCGUGAGGUGGAGCGAAUCCCUUAAAGUAGGUCUCAGUUCGGAUCGGGGUCUGCAACUCGACCCCGUGAAGUUGGAGUCGCUAGUAAUCGCAGAUCAGCAACGCUGCGGUGAAUACGUUCCCGGGCCUUGUACACACCG
This 439-nucleotide ribosomal RNA is filed under the name uncultured bacterium. RNAcentral's name for it is "bacterial SSU rRNA". It matches the Rfam family "Bacterial small subunit ribosomal RNA", at positions 958 to 1392 of the family's 1533-position model. The record is from RNAcentral.